Molecule: small RNA, 50 nt
Filed under: Limnoraphis robusta CS-951
Lineage: Bacteria; Bacillati; Cyanobacteriota; Cyanophyceae; Oscillatoriales; Sirenicapillariaceae
Description: Nitrogen stress-induced RNA 1
Rfam family: Nitrogen stress-induced RNA 1
Source: Rfam by way of RNAcentral
UAGUAGAUGCACCCUGAUUAGACCGCCCACAAUUGAUGGGCGUUUUUCUU